RNAcentral lists this non-coding RNA (94 nucleotides) under unclassified sequences. The record is from RNAcentral.
GUUCUACGAAAAAAGGCCACCUUCUCGUGGUGUAGGAUGUUAAGGUUAAAAGUCCUCAAUAUGAUAAUGACUGAUUUAACCGACCAAGAGCCUU